This 408-nucleotide ribosomal RNA is filed under the name uncultured bacterium. RNAcentral describes it as "partial 16S ribosomal RNA". It matches the Rfam family "Bacterial small subunit ribosomal RNA", at positions 28 to 526 of the family's 1533-position model. The record is from RNAcentral.
GACGAACGCUGGCGGCGUGCUUAACACAUGCAAGUCGAACGAAGUGGCGAACGGGUGAGUAAUACGUGGGUAACCUGCCCUCCUUUUUGGGAUAAGCCUUGGAAACGGGGUCUAAUACCGAAUAAAGGGGGAUGGGCUCGCGGCCUAUGAGCUUGUUGGUGGGGUGAUGGCCUACCAAGGCGGUGACGGGUAGCCGGCCUGAGAGGCUGACCGGCCACAUUGGGACUGAGAGACGGCCUAGACUCCUACGCGGGGGAGCAGUGGGGGCUAGUGCACAAUGGGCGAAAGCCUGAUGCAGCGACGCCGCGUGGGGGAUGAAGGCUUUCGGGUUGUAAACCUCUUUCGGUAUAUAACGGGUAGGUGGAGAAGAAGCGCCGGCUAACUACGUGCCAGCAGCCGCGGUAAUAC